GUAUCGUUGAUGGCUGGGUCGACCACUGGUGUACCGAUGUCUCCUGGAUAAGGCGGAUACCAAACCGCAACGCCGCCGCCUUACUACACAACAAAAUACGCAACGACCAGUUACUACACCGAGGUUGCACAGUUGGGUUUACAGUUAAACCACCAAGGAUCCAGAUUAUUACACCACAACUUGUGCUGCUCCCCGAUCUACACUACCAAAACGCAGAGUACUACACCGAGGCUCCUAAGUACUACACCACCGAGGCACCUACUGAGACUACGCAACUACGUAUGCUGCCCCAACCUACGACGCCGAGGCUCCAGCUUAUUACACCACUAAAGCUGUCGGAAUACUACACUGGAGCGCCCAAGUACGAUAGAAGUCAGUCAAGUGAGAUUCUCCGACACGCAACACGACAGCACGAUGGUCAAAAGAUUUAAACUGACCAUGUCGUCACUGUUGUCGGUUGGGACGCAAACUUCACGGAUUUGGCUGUCGUUUCUGGUUUGGAAAUAGAUUCCAAUUUUGGUGGUUAUCGAGUCAAUACCGAGCUUGAAGCACGAUCGAACGUCUGGUUGGCUGGAGAUGUUGCGUUCGUUUGUGGUAUCAAAUUGGGUUGUCAUCGUAUGGAACAUCAUCACUUUGCUGUUGUAUCAGGGCGAUUGCUGGAGAGAACAAUACUGGAAACAAAACAUGGAUGAACAACUGCAGUGCACCGUCACCAAGUUCAUUCUUCGUCGUAUUAUCAGUACGCAAUCGGUGUCGUGCUGUUGCCGUUUGUCGUAUCGUUGAAGGUUGGGUCGAUCACUGGUGUACCCAUGUCUCCUGGGUAUGGCGGAUACCAAAGCACCACGCCGCCGCCUUGCUACACAACGAAAACAUUCGCACCAACCGGUUACUACACUGAGGGCCACAAUUACUACACCAUUAAGGCUCUAGAGUAUUAAACCGCAGCUAAUGCUGCCCCGAGCUCAAUCACCGAGGCUCCCAAGUACUACACCUAGGCUCCCAAGUACUACACCAUCAAGUCACCGGAGUACUACACGUAUGUUGCCCCACCUUAUACACCGAGGCUCCCAAGUAUUACUUAGUUCCUAGCUAC
RNAcentral lists this long non-coding RNA (1093 nucleotides) under Daphnia pulex (common water flea). RNAcentral's name for it is "uncharacterized LOC124203999, transcript variant X1". Lineage: Eukaryota; Metazoa; Arthropoda; Branchiopoda; Diplostraca; Daphniidae. The record is from RNAcentral.